Molecule: ribosomal RNA, 726 nt
Filed under: Pseudomonas gessardii
Lineage: Bacteria; Pseudomonadati; Pseudomonadota; Gammaproteobacteria; Pseudomonadales; Pseudomonadaceae
Description: partial 16S rRNA
Source: RNAcentral
UCAGUGUCAGUAUCAGUCCAGGUGGUCGCCUUCGCCACUGGUGUUCCUUCCUAUAUCUACGCAUUUCACCGCUACACAGGAAAUUCCACCACCCUCUACCAUACUCUAGUCAGUCAGUUUUGAAUGCAGUUCCCAGGUUGAGCCCGGGGAUUUCACAUCCAACUUAACUAACCACCUACGCGCGCUUUACGCCCAGUAAUUCCGAUUAACGCUUGCACCCUCUGUAUUACCGCGGCUGCUGGCACAGAGUUAGCCGGUGCUUAUUCUGUCGGUAACGUCAAAAUUGCAGAGUAUUAAUCUACAACCCUUCCUCCCAACUUAAAGUGCUUUACAAUCCGAAGACCUUCUUCACACACGCGGCAUGGCUGGAUCAGGCUUUCGCCCAUUGUCCAAUAUUCCCCACUGCUGCCUCCCGUAGGAGUCUGGACCGUGUCUCAGUUCCAGUGUGACUGAUCAUCCUCUCAGACCAGUUACGGAUCGUCGCCUUGGUGAGCCAUUACCCCACCAACUAGCUAAUCCGACCUAGGCUCAUCUGAUAGCGCAAGGCCCGAAGGUCCCCUGCUUUCUCCCGUAGGACGUAUGCGGUAUUAGCGUCCGUUUCCGAACGUUAUCCCCCACUACCAGGCAGAUUCCUAGGCAUUACUCACCCGUCCGCCGCUCUCAAGAGAAGCAAGCUUCUCUCUACCGCUCGACUUGCAUGUGUUAGGCCUGCCGCCAGCGUUCAAU